GGACUACUGGGGUUUCUAAUCCUGUUUGCUCCCCUAGCUUUCGUCCCUCAGCGUCAGUUGCGAUCCAGCGAGCCGCUUUCGCCUCGGAUGUUCCUGCGGAUAUCUACGCAUUUCACCGCUACACCCGCAAUUCCACUCGCCUCUCUCGCACUCCAGCAUAGCAGUUUCGGCAGCGGCCUCUCAGUUAAGCCGAGAGAUUUCACUACCGACUUGCCACACCGCCUACGGACCCUUUACGCCCAGUAAUUCCGAGCAACGCUGGCCCCCUACGUUUUACCGCGGCUGCUGGCAC
This 292-nucleotide ribosomal RNA is filed under the name uncultured Acidobacteriota bacterium. RNAcentral describes it as "uncultured Acidobacteria bacterium partial 16S ribosomal RNA". The record is from RNAcentral. Lineage: Bacteria; Pseudomonadati; Acidobacteriota.